RNAcentral lists this ribosomal RNA (107 nucleotides) under Prolemur simus (greater bamboo lemur). The record is from RNAcentral. Lineage: Eukaryota; Metazoa; Chordata; Mammalia; Primates; Lemuridae.
GUCUACAGCCAUACGGGCCUGAAUGUGCCUGAUCUUGCCUGAUCUCAGAAGCUAAACAGAGUUGGGCCUGGUUAGUACUUGGAUGGGAGAAAUUAAGGUAACAUGCC